RNAcentral lists this ribosomal RNA (519 nucleotides) under uncultured eukaryote. RNAcentral describes it as "SSU rRNA". It matches the Rfam family "Eukaryotic small subunit ribosomal RNA", at positions 1161 to 1704 of the family's 1831-position model. The record is from RNAcentral.
AGGGCACCACCAGGAGUGGAGCCUGCGGCUUAAUUUGACUCAACACGGGAAAACUCACCCGGCCCGGACACUGUAAGGAUUGACAGACUGAGAGCUCUUUCUUAAUUCAGUGGGUGGUGGUGCAUGGCCGUUCUUAGUUGGUGGAGCGAUUUGUCUGGUUAAUUCCGAUAACGAACGAGACUCUGGCCUAUUAAAUAGACGAGAUAUUACUCUGUAUCUCGCGCUUCUUAGAGGGACAAGCGGCGUCUAGUCGCAUGAAAAAGAGCAAUAACAGGUCUGUGAUGCCCUUAGAUGUCCGGGGCUGCACGCGCGCUACACUGAAAGAAUCAGUGGGCGUUUUACCUGGUUCAGAAGAACCGGGUAACCCAAGUAAUUUCUUUCGUGCUUGGGAUAGGGAAUUGCAAUUAUUUCCCUUAAACGAGGAAUUCCCAGUAAACGCGGGUCAUAAGCUCGUGUUGAUUACGUCCCUGCCCUUUGUACACACCGCCCGUCGCUACUACCGAUUGGAUGACUUAGUGA